RNAcentral lists this transfer RNA (90 nucleotides) under Rickettsiales bacterium. Its description in RNAcentral is "tRNA-Ser". It matches the Rfam family "tRNA". From Rfam's summary of the family: Transfer RNA (tRNA) molecules are approximately 80 nucleotides in length. Their secondary structure includes four short double-helical elements and three loops (D, anti-codon, and T loops). Lineage: Bacteria; Pseudomonadati; Pseudomonadota; Alphaproteobacteria; Rickettsiales. The record is from RNAcentral.
GGAAGAGUGGCCGAGCGGUUUAAGGCAGCAGUCUUGAAAACUGCCGAGUGUGAAAGCAUUCCGUGAGUUCGAAUCUCACCUCUUCCGCCA